Non-coding RNA from Acanthosepion pharaonis, 108 nucleotides. NCBI's taxonomy places the organism in Eukaryota, Metazoa, Mollusca, Cephalopoda, Sepiida, Sepiidae. The record is from the annotation of a GenBank genome assembly.
CCACAUCUCGUUAAAACAUCGGUUCUCGUAUGAUCGCCGAAGUUAAGCAACGCCGAGCCUAGUCAGUACCAAGAUGGGUGACCGCUUAGGAAGACCAGCUGUUGUAAU